AUUUAAGUUUGAUUUGAUUUCACGAACUCUCGAAUUCAUUUUUUCGUUUAAUUUUCACUUUGCGCCUCCAUUGAUGGGCUUUUUCGUUUCUUGAAUCUCUGCGUUUGACUGCAAAAGAUUUGGAAUUUUCACGCGGGAAAAGAGAACUGUGUUCAAAAAAUUUAUUGUUAAAUUUGUAAAUUAUGUCCUUCUAAAAUAUAUAUGACCAUAAGUAUUUUAAGUUUAUUUAAGAGUGUUGAUGAUAUGAAAAUUCGUAUCAGUUCUCGUGGAAGUGAAGCUGAGCGGCAUUCAAGGUCAUUAAUUUUUUCCGGUUUCGAUUAGAGCGGAGCCGAACUACGUUACUUGAGGCUAUAAAAACUACUACCCAAAAAGUUUCAUAAAGAAAUUUAUACCGUAUUAAAUAAUAACAUAAUAAAAAUAUAUGUAUAUGUAUAUAUUACACUACAAUCUGAUAAUACGCGACUUCAGACGCUUGGCUCACUCUCACGUAAAUUGAAAUUUUCUCUGCAAUUAUAAAUGAGACAAAAAUAUCGCUCGUAAGUAGAUUGUACUGUACAAUAAAAUAACUUAAUUGUCUUGUCACUUUUAAUUUCCAUGUGACUAAGGCAAAUAAAAACUAUCUUCCCAUACGGUUAGUGUAUGAGAACCUUGAUAUUACUUAGAGUGGGGAUCUACCAUCCGUAAAGCAGACAGAAAAAAAAAUGGGAGCCGUAUCAUGUCUCCCAUGGACGAACCUAUGACGUCACUUACUGCGGAAAUACAUCAAUUUAUACAUUUAGCAUUGUCAACCAACAUGUCAAGUAUUCAAAGCAUCUCAGGCUUAUGAAUAUUACAACCAUGCUAAAAACGACCGCAGUAACACAUUCCUUUUAAAUAUACUACUAGUUUUUGACAAUAUCGAAGAAAAUCCAGAAUCCAACGAAAUCCGCCAUACCAAUAAAAUCUUACAAGAUUUAAAUACCGCCGCCAAAAGUUUCAAUCAAUUAAAUGAUCCUAAAAUAAAAUUACAUAUUGCCGGACUUAUUAAAUGGAAGGUUCGGUGUUAAUGAAGAUGAUGUACUCCAGUGUGGAUCAGGCCAUAUAAUGGAUUAUCAGACGAUAGGAAAUAGUUUGACCACGGUAACUACUCGGUCGUGGUCAAACUGUUCACAAUUAGCAUUUCAGUCCAUACCUAGUGCACCUGAAUAUUCAUGUUAUAAAAUGCCAGCUUUCAAGCCGGAUAGUGAAGAAGACGAUUAUCAGUAGCCCUACGACUCAAUGUUCCUUUGGUUCAUGCAAUUCAUACCUUUCAAAUCAAUAAUUAUAAUGUACAAGCUUAAGAAAAGUUUUUUUUUUUGUUUUAAUGUAUUGUGAAAAUCACAAUAAAGAAACUACCAAGAAUUUAAAUGAUUAAGGUACCUGCAGGUAAUAAGGCUUGUCGGGUAAUAAGACCUAUUUGACAGAAAUGAUAUUUAAAAUAACCGCCUCAGCUAAAGGCUACUCUAGUAAAAGGGUCUUGCAUAGAGAUGUUACGACAAGUUUAUAGAGCCCCGAGACCAGGUUUCUUGUCUUCUAUAUUUCAUCAUCCGUCAUAUGAUGUCGUAGUGCAGAAGAAAUUAUAAAAAACAAUCUAGACUUCUGACUCUUAAAAAGGAUACUGAUAGUUUUAAGUGUUGUUGAAAAAAACAAUCUAGUCUUCUGUCUUUAAAAAAGUAUUGUGAUGAUUCAUCUCUACACUGUGAAAAAUCCGGAGUGAACUCGGAUUAGAAUUAAAUGCGAAUUCACUCCGCAUUCACUCCGCCACUCGGAGUUCCGGAGUUUUAAAAAAAAAUCACUCCGCAUGCGGAGUGAAUUGGGAGUUUAUUUUUGGCGGAGUAACCUCGGAGUGACGUGGAUUUUAUUUCACUCCCAAUUCACUCCGGUCCGGCGUUUUAAUACUUAAAUAAAUUUAUGUUAUUUUAUAUUAAACUGCUAAACAAUGUGUGUGUGUGUGUGCGAGUGUGUGUUUGCGUGCAUGUGUGUGUUUAGGUGUGUGCAGUUGUUUGUGUGCGUGUGUGCGAAUGUGUGCUUGUGUGUGUUCGGCUGUGUGCAAAUGUGUGCGUGUGUGUGCAAAUGUGUGCGUGUGUGAAAAUGUGUGCGUGUGUGUGCAAAUGUGUGCGUGUGUGUGUGUUUGUGCGAGUGCGCGUGUGUGUCUAAAUAUGUGUGGGCGUAUCAACUGAUCAAUAAUGUAAUACGCGAGUUUUUACUUCAAUUUUAUUGAGUGGAGCAAUUUUUUAUAAAUAAUAUUUUCAAAACUCCACUCCGGAGUGAAUUUCACUCCGAGGGGAGUGAAUAAUUAAAAAUUCAUUCACUUCGGAUUUAAUCCGCAUUCACUCCACGAAUUUUUUACAGUGUAAUACCAAUUUUAUUAAGUAUACUUAAACUAUUCCAGUUUGUUUAACCCGUAGGCCUUAUUACCCUUCCGUAGUAAAAUAAGGCCUAUUCGUAUAGAUUUUGUAAAAGUUCAGUUUUUUAUUUGUUUGUAGUAUAGAUUACCAUUACUUCAUUAUAUUUUAUGGCUAAUGUAUUGAAAUAAAGAUUUAUGAUACAUUUCGAUAAUUAAAUGCAAUACUUUCGAUUGUAUUCAAAAUCUCCCUUAGCUAGGCUUUAUAACCCGCCGGUACUCUUUAGACUUAGAUUUCUUUCAUUUCUGUUUUACCAUUAAGUCACAAUUUAAUCUCUACUUUAUCAACAAUAAACUGUAGCUGAAACAGUUGACACCUAACAUACCUCUGUUUAUUUGAAAACCAAGUACACUUCCCAGAUAGCCAGAGUUGUAGUAUAACUAGUUGUACUUCAACAGUUAACAUCAAGUCAAGUUAAACUUUGCGUUAACUAUUUCAUUUGUAACUGUUAUCCGCAAACUGCGUUCAAUUCGCUCUUAAAGUUAACGCGAAUCUAUUGCCGGAAUUCAACCAUAAGUUUAGGUGGAAAAGUUGUAUAGUAACUACAAAUGUGAAGUUGCGGAUGAAUUAUUGUUAGAAGUUGGCAUUAUUUUAUUUUCUAUACUUUGAAUAGCAACUGUUAAAGUGAAGUUACAUGUAUUUUUACUCAUUAUUUAAGACAUAAGGUAUUUUAUAAAAAUAACGUCAAGUUGACAUUUGCUACUAACCUAAAAAAAACUGCAGCUGAAAUACUGUAAAGUUCAAAAUUUGCAAUAAAUUAUUUAAAAAACAAAAAAAUAUACAUUGUGUUUUGAAAUUUGUUCUAUGUAGAUUUGUACAUAAUUAAAAUUAAUUUAUUAUUAAAUUAAUAAAUUAAAAAAUUUAUUAUUUUUAAAUCCAAGAAUUGAUUAUUUAUAAAUAGUAAUUUUUAUAAUGUGCUCAUCAGGGUUGUAGUUGAUUGAUUCAAAAAAUUAUGUUAAUUUAUGACAUGCAUGUAAAUUAAUCGCUAUGUAGCAAAAAGAGUAGAAAAAACAAUGAACUAUCAACAAACAACAAUUUAAUGUAAUCGUAAUAUCAUACAAUUGUCAACAUAAUCAUUACAUAUUGUAUGACGUGAAGACCUGUGAUUUUCCUCCAUCGAGCUGUGAUGCUUAAGAGUUACUCAAAUUAUUCCUUGGCUGUUCACGUAAUAAAUUUUCGAAAAGCACUUACGGCAGCGUGUGCUCGAGUAAAUAAAAGUGCAGAUAGCUCGGGUGAAGAAACGGUGGAUCAAGACGGUAAAGAAAAUGAAAGUCAGUCGAGAAGUGAAAAGAAAAACGGGAAAAAGAAAGGCAAAAGAAUUACUUUAAAAAAUGUUCAUUUAUAUUCCAAAAGUGCUGAUCAGCCUGUGAUUGAUCCAUCUGUCACUGAGUGAUAAUAAUUUUUAUUUCUUAUUGUUUAUCAUGAAACUUAAUUGUAUCGUUUUCUUUUUAUAAUAUCACUAGUUAUUUAUUGUUUAUUAUCGUUGUGUAGGUUUGAAAACCAUAAGUAAUUGACGUACUGUAAGUUGGUUAAUGUGCUCCCUGGCGAUUUUAGCGCCACGGUGACCUUACAGUAAAAACACCGUUAAAACACCGUGGAACGACUGUGAAAACGUGGUUGUAAUGCAGUGAAAUCACGGUAUUUUUUGUGCAGUCACGCCACUGUAUUCCGACCGCGUUUCCAUUGCACUUAAAGAGUGUUUCCACGGUGUUUCGAUCGUAAGGUCACAGUAAUCUCACGGUGGUUUUACGGUGAAACCACCGUAAAACUACGGUGCGCUCCACAGUGGUUUUCAGCGAUAUCCACGGUGAGUUUACAACGGCUUUCCGAUGGCUUGACAGUUUUUUAACCAUGAAUUCACCGUAUUUCCACAGUCAGCUCAUCGUUUCAUGAUGCGUCCAUAAAUUUUAUAGCGAAAAAAAAAAAAAAAAAAAUUAACGCCUACUCGGAGGAUCGAUCCCAGCGCCUUCGCAUUCAAAGUCUGAUCUGCUAUCCACUGUGCCAAAUCACACCCUUGAUUGUGGGGAUUGAUUGUAUUUAUAUAAGCACAAAUGAACUUUAGAAAAUUAAAGAUAUUUAAUAAAUGAUUGAUUUUCUGAUUUGUAUUACAUUCAAUUAUAUAAUUGUUUAUAGGGUAACGAGACCAAUACCGGUAUACCCACUAGUAGCGGGGCAAUAAAUACUUUUUUUGGUAAAUUAUGUAAAUGAGAAGUUAAAAUUUUUCAAACUUAACCAUACAAUAUUUUAAAUUUGAAAUCUAAGUUUUUUAUAACUAAAUUCAUUAUUCAAACAUCGAAAUGUCCUUAACUAUCUCACUAAUGAUCUUAUUAGCUUAUUUUCAAAAAUUUUAAAAAAGUUUGCGUACUUUACAACAUUUAUGAAUGCGGUAAAUUGAAAAAUUUCAUAGACUUUAUAAGAUUUAUGAAUCAUUGUAAAAUCAUUUUUUUCGAAUAAUGUUACAUUAUUUAGUCGUAUCUAAAGUAUAUUACAAAAUAUAAUGAUUCACAAACCUGCGCGGCAUAUUUACUCAGAAAUCGCUAUUAAAUAGAAUUUGCUAGAACUCAAUUAUAUAAAAUUUUGCAUUAUUGAAUAAAAACAAAAUUCACUUCGGGACUAGAAAAAUUUUUUGACGCAAUAACAUUUUAUUUUCGCCUAAAAAAAUUUUUUCUUGAAUUCAGAAAAUUCUUUGUCGCCACAAAAAAAUUUUUGUUUUCAAUUCAUUAUGCUUAGAUUUCUUUAGGGCAAGUCAAAAUUUUCUUGGGGUGAGUGCAACUUUUUGGCGCCAAGAAAUUCCUUUUUUCUGUGUACUCAUAUUGAUAAGAUAACUUAAAAUGAUAAGCUUUGUUCAUUUUAAUAAUUUAACAAUACACUUUAGAAAAGAUAAUUAUCAAAAGUACUGAGAAAAUAAGAAAAUAUGAUUGACAGAGAUUUGGAAACUAUAAGAAAAAAAUAUAUCAAUGGUGAAGACACCAUGAAAUCAUCGUGAAAACAACGAGGAAAUACUGAACUACCACAGAGAAAACACUGAAAAAUCCACGCGAAAAUACUGUGAGGCCAUCGUGGGACCACCGUGAGCUCACCGUGGAAAUUACUGCCAACCACUGUGAAACCACUAUGAAAACACUGGAAAUUCACCGUCAGAACACUGUGAACUCGCUUUCGAAACACCCUUAAACCACCGUAAAAACACAGUGUGGACUCGGUCGGUACAUAGUAGCGUGACUGCACAGAAACCACCGUAAAUUCACCGUCGAAUCUCCGCCGCUUCACUGUCAAAACACGGAAGACGUGUUUUCACGGUAAAAACACCGUAAUUCGACCGU
Microplitis mediator is the source of this 5746-nucleotide long non-coding RNA. RefSeq lists it as uncharacterized. NCBI's taxonomy places the organism in Eukaryota, Metazoa, Arthropoda, Insecta, Hymenoptera, Braconidae. The record is from RefSeq and is a predicted model, not a curated record. The transcript is spliced from 8 exons.